AUGGGGCGCAGCAGGCGAGAAAACUUUGCAAUGUGCGAAAGCACGACAAGGUUAAUCCGAGUGAUUCCUGCUAAAGGAAUCUUUUGUUAGUCAUAAUACCACUAUUGAAUAAGGGGUGGGCAAGUUCUGGUGUCAGCCGCCGCGGUAAAACCAGCACCUCAAGUGGUCAGGAGGUUUAUUGGGCCUAAAGCAUCCGUAGCCUGAUCUAUAAGUUUCCGGUUAAAUCCACAUGCUCAACAUUUGGGCUGCCGGAAAAACUGUAGAUCUAGGGAGUGGGAGAGGUAGACGGUACUCGGUAGGAAGGGGUAAAAUCCUUUGAUCUAUUGAUGACCACCAGUGGCGAAGGCGGUCUACCAGAACACGUUCGACGGUGAGGGAUGAAAGCUGGGGGAGCAAACCGGAUUAGAUACCCGGGUAGUCCCAGCUGUAAACGAUGCAGACUCGGUGAUGCAUUGGCUUGUGGCCAGUGCAGUGCCGCAGGGAAGCCGUUAAGUUUGCCGCCUGGGAAGUACGUACGCAAGUAUGAAACUUAAAGGAAUUGGCGGGGGAGCAC
Molecule: ribosomal RNA, 553 nt
Filed under: uncultured crenarchaeote
Lineage: Archaea; Thermoproteati; Thermoproteota
Description: bacterial SSU rRNA
Rfam family: Archaeal small subunit ribosomal RNA
Source: RNAcentral